UACUGGGAUAGCUCAGUCGGUAGAGCAGGAGACUCGUAUUCUCAGAGCCGUGGGUUUGAGCCCAUGCUGGGUAA
Podarcis lilfordi (Lilford's wall lizard) is the source of this 74-nucleotide non-coding RNA. The record is from the annotation of a GenBank genome assembly. Lineage: Eukaryota; Metazoa; Chordata; Lepidosauria; Squamata; Lacertidae.